AUGGCGAUGUCGCCACUGCCGUGCCUCGUCUUCGAGACGGCGACGAGCGGGGCACGAAGCUGUACGCUGCCGCCGACGGCGUGUACCGGCCAUCCAUCAGAAUAAAUCGGCCCGCUGCUAGCCAAGCGGAACUGGGUCACCGCGCAGGGCUGGGUGCUCGCCUGGGACCCGGACACCUACGCCACCUUCCUGUGGGACCCGCGGGAUCCGGAGCACGGCCGGGUCGCGCUGCCGUCGAUGGCGCAAGCUCCGCCCGAGGGCUCCGGCUGCGCGCUGUCAGGCGAUCCCACGGCUCCCGGCGGCUGCACGGUGGUCCUGGCCGAGCCAUAUGAGAGCACCGUUCUAUGGUAUUGCCACGUCGGUUCGCCGGCGCCGGAGUGGGUAAGGCACGAGUACGAUCUUGGGGGCAAGUUGGUGGUGCUCGGCGAGUAUCGGGAGUGGAUAAAAGAGCACGCCUACGGUCUGACGCCGUACGGUGGAAAGUUUUACUACACAAUCAACAGUACCAAGUAUGGUGUGCUGGGGUUCUCACCGGAGCCGACGUGGAGCACCGUGAAGACGAAGGGGGUCGAACUUACCUAUCAUCCAAGCGGGGAUGGAUGUGUGCAUUAUGAAAGCUUUCUCCUCGACCUGGACGGCAAGCUUCACACGGUGUGGAUCUUCUUUGCGGGCUUUGAUUUGCGCACUGUCAAUGAUGUUGCCAUCUAUAAGAUGGGUUUUGAUAGAUCAAGGUGUGUCAAGGUGAACAACAUCGGCGGCCGCGCAAUACUUGCGGGCUCGAGUCGUGCAUCGUGUUGUCCUGCCAACAAGUUUAGGCUGCGUCCCAACACCUUGUACUGGAUGAGCCCUCACGACAAAUGCUUACACAUGUACAACAUUGGGUCAAACAAGGAGGUGGUGCAGGAGUGCGAAGGUGCCACGGAGCUAUCGCGGCUGCCGUUUUGGUUGGUUCCCGUAAAUAGUCAAUGA
This 969-nucleotide ribosomal RNA is filed under the name Triticum aestivum (bread wheat). RNAcentral describes it as "partial small subunit ribosomal RNA". Lineage: Eukaryota; Viridiplantae; Streptophyta; Magnoliopsida; Poales; Poaceae. The record is from RNAcentral.